Molecule: ribosomal RNA, 555 nt
Filed under: uncultured bacterium
Lineage: Bacteria
Description: partial 16S ribosomal RNA
Rfam family: Bacterial small subunit ribosomal RNA
Source: RNAcentral
UAGGGAAUCUUCCACAAUGGACGAAAGUCUGAUGGAGCAACGCCGCGUGAGUGAUGAAGGGUUUCGGCUCGUAAAACUCUGUUGUUGGAGAAGAACAGGUGAUAGAGCAACUGUUAUCAUCUUGACGGUAUCCAACCAGAAAGCCACGGCUAACUACGUGCCAGCAGCCGCGGUAAUACGUAGGUGGCAAGCGUUGUCCGGAUUUAUUGGGCGUAAAGCGAGCGCAGGCGGUUUUUUAGGUCUGAUGUGAAAGCCUUCGGCUUAACCGGAGAAGGGCAUCGGAAACCGGGAGACUUGAGUGCAGAAGAGGACAGUGGAACUCCAUGUGUAGCGGUGAAAUGCGUAGAUAUAUGGAAGAAUACCAGUGGCGAAGGCGGCUCUCUGGUCUGCAACUGACGCUGAGGCUCGAAAGCAUGGGUAGCGAACAGGAUUAGAUACCCUGGUAGUCCAUGCCGUAAACGAUGAGUGCUAAGUGUUGGGAGGCUUCCGCCUGCUCAGUGCUGCAGCUAACGCAUUAAGCACUCCGCCUGGGGAGUACGACCGCAAGGUUGAAAC